This 233-nucleotide ribosomal RNA is filed under the name uncultured bacterium. Its description in RNAcentral is "partial 16S ribosomal RNA". It matches the Rfam family "Bacterial small subunit ribosomal RNA", at positions 100 to 334 of the family's 1533-position model. The record is from RNAcentral.
CGGGACGGGUGAGUAAUGUCUGGGAAACUGCCUGAUGGAGGGGGGUAACUACUGGAAACGGUAGCUAGUACCGCAUAACGUCGCAAGACCAAAGAGGGGGACCUUCGGGCCUCUUGCCAUCGGAUGUGCCCAGAUGGGAUUAGCUAGUAGGUGGGGUAACGGCUCACCUAGGCGACGAUCCCUAGCUGGUCUGAGAGGAUGACCAGCCACACUGGAACUGAGACACGGUCCAG